UUCCCCUUAACCUCUUAUUUAUGAAGUUCAAACGUGAACAGGGAGGUUACUUUGGUCAGAGGGUUUCGAGAAGCAAUUUGAUGUUUUUAGCUAAUCAUAGCUGCUAUGCUGGAGAUCUCCCCAUCAGCAAUUUUUAGUAUUUUUUGUGUUUUGAUUCUAUGCUGAUGCCAUGUAUCUUAUUUGAUGUGGGGUAAGGGGUUCUAAAUAGCUUAAGUUUAAUUUUUGUUUUUGUUCUGUUUAUCUUUCACUUAAGU
Molecule: long non-coding RNA, 254 nt
Filed under: Phaseolus vulgaris (common bean)
Lineage: Eukaryota; Viridiplantae; Streptophyta; Magnoliopsida; Fabales; Fabaceae
Description: long non-coding RNA (PVUL_LNC003824)
Source: RNAcentral